UGGCUUUAAGUCUAGGUACCUUAAUGGUGUGU
Molecule: non-coding RNA, 32 nt
Filed under: Rattus norvegicus (Norway rat)
Lineage: Eukaryota; Metazoa; Chordata; Mammalia; Rodentia; Muridae
Source: RNAcentral